AUUCCUUUCCCCUACCCAUUUCCCUUUUUCCAUUUCCCUAACCCAUAAAAAUCCCUAAGCCUUUCCCUCCCCCCUUUUUUUCCCCAAUUCCAAAAUCCACUUCCAUCUCCACUGAUCGACCAUUCCACCUCCGGUCCUCCACGGCUCCACCUAUUUCCAGAAUCAGCUCUUACAAGUACUCUAGCAGCGGGUAUUCCUUCAACAGGAAAAAAAGUAAUCGACAGCACUCAAGCUUGAUCAAGAAGGGUACCUUUGCAAAUGUAUAAAGAUCUGGCACUGUCUUCUCGAAAUCGAAAGGUAAAGGAAGAGGAAAAAUGAAGAGGUUAGAGCGCUGUUUCUACGUCUUCUACCUUUGAAUUUCAAGGUGAGUUUGCUACUGUUAACAAUGUUAAGUUGUUAACCCUAGUUUAUGUCGAAGUAAUUUUUUGCUUUUUGUUUUUUUUUUAGAUUGAUGAACUAAUUGAUAUCUAUUAAAUGUCUAAGAUGUUAACCCUUCUCAAUUUCCUCUCAUAUUAUUUUCUAUCUCAAUACUCAAUACUGUUGAUUAUCAUUGCUAAUUACCGAGACUAUGUUAACUGGUACCGAGUGAGUGACACAUACAGGUUUAUGUCGAUUAUCCUGCAUUCCCUCAAAAAAUGAGUGAGAAUUUCUGAACAAACUAAUACUUUAAUGCCAUUGUCUAGAACCCAUAUUUUGUUACUUUUGUAUGUUCCCUGCUUAAAUGAUUGAUUAUUUCAUAUUCAACUGUAAUGUAUUCAUUCAACGAGUUAUUAUUGAUUUAAUAUUAAUAUAUUUUUCAAUCUGUUUAAAUAUACGUUGGAUGUAAAUAUUUUAAGAAAAAAUAGAAACAUGGAGAGAAAUACAUAUUACAUUAGCAUUUUCUUGUUUGACUUGGUGGAUCUUAAUCUAUUAUAAUUAUGUCCCCUGAAAUGUUAAAAAGAGUGUUGAAAUAAAAGUUUUGUUUGCUUUAGAGAAAAACCUUUCUAUUUUUCAUGUAUGUAGAUGGUUUUCCAGAAGCAAAGGGAUGGAAAUCAUGGUGUAUCUUUAAGAAUUUUUUUAGGACCUUUUUUUGUGAUUUUGUGAUUUUAUGAUUGGGGACUCCUUUGGUUAACAAGAUCUUUGAUUUGUGAUGUUUCACAUUGAUAAAAAUAAAAGAGGGGGAUUUCAAUGUUUAAAAAGGUCAAAAGUUGAGGGAUGCAAUGUGUUUGGCCCAUGAUUAACACGGUUCAUAAAGGAACACAUUUGACUUUACAGUUACUUUUCUCAUUUCCAUUUUCAAGUCAGCUUGCUUUCAUGGCUGCUUCUUUGUUUGAUUUGAUUCCUUACCAUUCCAUACUCCUUUUUUUUUUCUUUUCAUCCUCACUGAUGAUUGAUUAGGAUAGCAUUAGUUAUACCCUCAAUUACUUCAAGAUUUCAAUGCUAAUGGAUUAAUACAGACUUCUAACUUAAUUUUAUCUCAGAUAUAUUGCUUAAAAUCUUAAAACCCUUUUGCAACUUGUUAGCUAUACAUCCCAACACUUUUCGCAGGUAAGAAAUAUGUAAUUCCAACUCAGUAUAACACUGUUAUUGACUGUCUUUGUAAUUUGUUCAUUUAAUCUCAUCUUUUUUUGUUUUUGCUUUGUUUUAUUACAGAAACAAGCGACAUUGAAAUCGAUUUGGCUUACCUUAGCUUCCUUUCUCGUAAGCUUUCAUUUACAUUUUCUUUUUAGAAUUUAAUUUAAUUUAAUUUAAUUUAAUUUAAUUUAAUUUGAUUUGAUUUGAUUUUCUUUUACUUUGUACAACAUUUUCUUUUAUUAAGAUGUAGUUUGAAUUUUAUUCAAGGUAAAGAAGUCUGUCUAUGUAUUCUUAGCAGAUGAAUGAUCAUAAAAACAUUUGUUUUCUAAUUAAAAUUGAUUGAUUUAUUUUUUAUAGAGCAC
This 1916-nucleotide long non-coding RNA is filed under the name Gossypium barbadense (sea-island cotton). RNAcentral's name for it is "long non-coding RNA (GBAR_LNC013694)". Lineage: Eukaryota; Viridiplantae; Streptophyta; Magnoliopsida; Malvales; Malvaceae. The record is from RNAcentral.